UAAUACGAAGGGACCUAGCGUAGUUCGGAAUUACUGGGCUUAAAGAGUUCGUAGGUGGUUGAAAAAGUUGGUGGUGAAAUCCCAGAGCUUAACUCUGGAACUGCCAUCAAAACUUUUCAGCUAGAGUAUGAUAGAGGAAAGCAGAAUUUCUAGUGUAGAGGUGAAAUUCGUAGAUAUUAGAAAGAAUACCAAUUGCGAAGGCAGCUUUCUGGAUCAUUACUGACACUGAGGAACGAAAGCAUGGGUAGCGAAGAGGAUUAGAUACCCUCGUAGUCCAUGUCGUAAACGAUGUGUGUUAGACGUUGGAAAUUUAUUUUCAGUGUCGCAGCGAAAGCGAUAAACACACCGCCUGGGGAGUACGACCGCAAGGUUAAAACUCAAAUGAAUUGACGGGGACCCGCACAAGUAGUGGAGCAUGUGGUUUAAUUCGAAGAUACGCGCAGAACCUUACCAACACUUGACAUGUUCGUCGCGACUUUAAGAGAUUAAAGUUUUCGGUUCGGCCGGACGAAACACAGGUGCUGCAUGGCUGUCGUCAGCUCGUGUCGUGAGAUGUUGGGUUAAGUCCCGCAACGAGCGCAACCCUCACUUUUAGUUGCCAUCAUUAAGUUGGGCACUCUGAAAGAACUGCCAGUGAUAAGCUGGAGGAAGGUGGGGAUGACGUCAAGUCCUCAUGGCCCUUACGUGUUGGGCUACACACGUGCUACAAUGGUAUCUACAACAGGAAGCAAGACUGCGAAGUUAAGCAAAUCCUAAAAAGAUACCUCAGUUCGGAUUGCACUCUGCAACUCGAGUGCAUGAAGCUGGAAUUACUAGUAAUCGUGGAUCAGCGUGCCACGGUGAAUGCGUUCCCGGGUCUUGUACACACCGCCCGUCACACCAUGGAAGUUGGUUACACCUUAAGGCAGAGCUUAUACCUCUGACUACGGUACGAUCAGCAACUGGGGUGAAGUCGUAACAAGGUAGCCG
This 969-nucleotide ribosomal RNA is filed under the name uncultured bacterium. Its description in RNAcentral is "bacterial SSU rRNA". It matches the Rfam family "Bacterial small subunit ribosomal RNA", at positions 521 to 1502 of the family's 1533-position model. The record is from RNAcentral.